UAAUUUAUUACGUUUAGAUGAACAAGCACUUGUCGUAGAUAUCAUAAUGUCAUAUUUUGAAAAAGCAUUAACUAAUACUUCACCUUUUACGCCAGGAAAACUAAUAUUUAAAACGAAUGGUGAACCUGAAGUUGAAGAAUUAAUAUAAACUCCAUGAUAUUUAUUUAAAAAUUGACGGACGUCAUUAU
Molecule: small RNA, 188 nt
Filed under: Staphylococcus aureus
Lineage: Bacteria; Bacillati; Bacillota; Bacilli; Caryophanales; Staphylococcaceae
Description: 3'UTR
Source: RNAcentral